GACGAACGCUGGCGGCGUGCUUAACACAUGCAAGUCGAACGGAAAGGCCCUGCUUUUGUGGGGUGCUCGAGUGGCGAACGGGUGAGUAACACGUGAGUAACCUGCCCUUGACUUUGGGAUAACUUCAGGAAACUGGGGCUAAUACCGGAUAGGAUCUCCUGCUGCAUGGUGGGGGUUGGAAAGUUUCGGCGGUUGGGGAUGGACUCGCGGCUUAUCAGCUUGUUGGUGGGGUAGUGGCUUACCAAGGCUUUGACGGGUAGCCGGCCUGAGAGGGUGACCGGCCACAUUGGGACUGAGAUACGGCCCAGAAUCCUACGGGAGGCAGCAGUGGGGAAUAUUGCACAAUGGGCGGAAGCCUGAGGCAGCAACGCCGCGUGCGGGAUGACGGCCUUCGGGUUGUAAACCGCUUUCGCCUGUGACGAAGCGUGAGUGACGGUAAUGGGUAAAGAAGCACCGGCUAACUACGUG
Molecule: ribosomal RNA, 468 nt
Filed under: uncultured bacterium
Lineage: Bacteria
Description: partial 16S ribosomal RNA
Rfam family: Bacterial small subunit ribosomal RNA
Source: RNAcentral